This 508-nucleotide ribosomal RNA is filed under the name uncultured bacterium. RNAcentral describes it as "partial 16S ribosomal RNA". It matches the Rfam family "Bacterial small subunit ribosomal RNA", at positions 28 to 507 of the family's 1533-position model. The record is from RNAcentral.
GACGAACGCUGGCGGCGUGCCUAAUACAUGCAAGUCGAACGCUUCUUUCCUCCCGAGUGCUUGCACUCAAUUGGAAAGAGGAGUGGCGGACGGGUGAGUAACACGUGGGUAACCUACCCAUCAGAGGGGGAUAACACUUGGAAACAGGUGCUAAUACCGCAUAACAGUUUAUGCCGCAUGGCAUAAGAGUGAAAGGCGCUUUCGGGUGUCGCUGAUGGAUGGACCCGCGGUGCAUUAGCUAGUUGGUGAGGUAACGGCUCACCAAGGCCACGAUGCAUAGCCGACCUGAGAGGGUGAUCGGCCACACUGGGACUGAGACACGGCCCAGACUCCUACGGGAGGCAGCAGUAGGGAAUCUUCGGCAAUGGACGAAGGUCUGACCGAGCAACGCCGCGUGAGUGAAGAAGGUUUUCGGAUCGUAAAACUCUGUUGUUAGAGAAGAACAAGGACGUUAGUAACUGAACGUCCCCUGACGGUAUCUAACCAGAAAGCCACGGCUAACUACGUG